RNAcentral lists this long non-coding RNA (2612 nucleotides) under Pogona vitticeps (central bearded dragon). Its description in RNAcentral is "lncRNA (ENSPVIG00000011014.1)". The record is from RNAcentral. Lineage: Eukaryota; Metazoa; Chordata; Lepidosauria; Squamata; Agamidae.
UGAACGAAGGACGGGCAAAGGGCAGACCGCUGUUUACCCCAAACAUCUUUCCCCCGAUAACUUAUCUCUUCCCACAGCCGUUGCUGAUUCCCCCCCCCCAAUGUUCCGCUAAUAAUGUUUGGAGAAGGUUCUUGAGAAAUGGGGGGGGCGCUUUGGCUGGGGCACACAACCUGUGGCCCCCACCUGAGCCUUCGCGUGAUUCCCUCAGGCCCAGCGUGCAGGACCGCCGGCCGGCGCCGGCCACGCUGUGGCUUGAUUCACGUCAGCUUCAGCGCAUUUACCGGAAUCGGCACUAAUAAAAUUUAUUCUUAGCUUGCAAAGGCGAGCGCCAGAGCGGGCGAGAGAGAGGGGACGGGGAGAGACAGACAAUUAAGGCCUUGUUCGCUUCCCGAGUGCUUCCUGCAGGAUCCGCACGCCUCCGGCAGGGGCUUUCGCAGAAGGGUUCGGGGGUGUCUUUCUGUCGUGGGCCUCCCCCUCUCGGCAUAAGCUGGAAAGUGUCAUUCCGCGAUUCCUAGGGUUUCUCUGUCACCUGUGGGGUGGGGGUGGGUCAUCACCUGAGCAGCGACAUUUUCGACCCCACACCCUUAAUGUCUUGCAACCCCAUCCAGACCAAAGGAUUACUUACAAGCCGAGAAGGUUUUUGCCAGAACAAACGGCAGCAACUCAGGCCGCGCUCACACUGGUAGAGAGCCAGUGAGGUGCAGUGGAUAAGAGUGACAAACGAGGACUUGAGAGACACGGGUUCGGAUUUCCCCAGGGCCAUGAAAACUAAUUUGGGGGAGGGCUUGGCACUAGGAAGACCACUCUGUUCAUCAUCCCUGUGACGCCACAAAAUCCCACGUGAGGAUCACCCUAAGUCGGGAGCAACUGGACGGCACAUCAUAGCAGUGCACUCAAAACAUGCUCAGGUAGACUCUCAUCCAUGCAGUUUCCCCCUAUGGUCCUGGACUGGCAGAAAGUGGGAUGGCUCCUCUUCCCUGCCCUGGAAGGACUAUUCCAGAAGGAUGCUGAAGCGCCCCCCCCGCCCCCGGGCCCUGGGACCGGGCUAGGCUCUUUUUAUUUGCUGGGCGGAUGGGCAGGCCAGGAGGAGCUGCUUGAUCAAGCCUCUGGCGACCUUUUGGGGGACAUCGCCGUGGAGACAAGAGGCCUGGCCUUCAGCUGGGUGGACCUGAAAGGAAGAUUGGCCCACGGAUGGGGGGGGGAAAGGCUAUCGGAAGCCGCUAGCCAGGACGGCAACCCUAUUCCUUUCCACGUCCCUCUCCCUGCCCAAGGGCCACCUUGUCUCCCUGGGAGGAAAGAUGCAGCGGGACCCCCACCACGGAAGGAGGACGUGAGGGCAGAAAUCAGCAGGCGCAGCGGGCCGGAAGGCGGCCAGAAGGGUGCUGCUCCUCCUCUCAAGUCACUCCCGUGGCCUUCCCACGGUCGCCUUUGCUUGGGCACCGUGGGAGCAGGAGGCAGGACCUGGGAGUCCUCUUCUCCCUCGAAGCGAUGGGCCGGCCGGUGGGGCCCCCUCUGCCGCCAACCACCACUGGGGGCUUCACCCUCACAACCCGGUGGCUCUGCCUCUUGGAAUGCCUGGCCCUGGCCGUCCUCUUUCCCAGGAGCUCUCUGACGGGCCACCUCUCCGGGAUCCUGGCCGGGCUGGCCUUUUCUACGGUGCCCUUCCUCUAUCUGGACACCGGCUGAAGCUCCCAGCGCUCUCCAGCCACCGCCACCAGGAAGGAGCCCAUGCACCAGGAGGUCCCAUCCAGCUGACAGGAGUAUUCCCAGGCUCUCUGGAACAAUACAGCCCUCUCACCUCUUCCAAAAGUGAUUCUGAACCAUGCUUCGUGUCUGCAGAAGAUGGGAGGCUUCUGCCAUACAGAGGUGGUGUGGGGUAGUGGUUAGGGACCUCAGGGGCUGGGGAAAGGGAGAAAAUCCAAGUUCUAGCUGUCUUCUCCCUUCCCUUCCACCCUGAGCCAUGAAAUUCACAGGGAGAUUGUGGGUUAGUCACUCAACCGGACCCCUCUCGAACCCACAGGGUGGUCGCAACACCCAAGGGGAGAGAGCGAGCAGUGGGGUCACCGGAAGUGGCAGGAGAAAAAAGUAUCAGCUAACCAACUAGCUUAAUUCAGGGCUGGCCUUGUGCCUUUCAGCCAGGAACUACCACACCCAUCACCCCCUAGUCAGCAUGGCCAGCGGCUGCUGUGCUAGUUGGGAGCGAUGGGGAGACUGUAAUUCCAACACAUAUCGGAAGCACCACCACCACCACAAAAGGAGCAGGCAGGCUGGGACCAAAAAACUGGCCACUUUUUUGACUAAAAGUCCCAGAAUCCCCCCAUGACACCCAACUGGAUGCUGGCUGAGGCACAGAACCCCUGGCCCUCCAGGGGACAAGGGUGGCUUUGCAAACAUCCAAACAGGGGCUGGGUAAGUGGAGAUCUCAACUGGAAUAGCUCUGCAUUUAACACCAACCCUUUGGGGCACCAGGGGGGGGAGGGGAGAGAAGCAGGGCUGGGACUCUCUCGGCCGUUAAGAGGCAGCUCUGGGUUCAAGCUUCAUUCCUCAGUGCUUCCUUUUUUAAAGAACCCCCAAAGUUCAACAAACUCUACCUGCUAGCGCUAAAAUCUGGC